This 701-nucleotide ribosomal RNA is filed under the name uncultured bacterium. RNAcentral's name for it is "bacterial SSU rRNA". It matches the Rfam family "Bacterial small subunit ribosomal RNA", at positions 65 to 763 of the family's 1533-position model. The record is from RNAcentral.
AACGGUAACAGGUCUUCGGACGCUGACGAGUGGCGAACGGGUGAGUAAUACAUCGGAACGUGCCCAGUCGUGGGGGAUAACUACUCGAAAGAGUAGCUAAUACCGCAUACGAUCUGAGGAUGAAAGCGGGGGACCUUCGGGCCUCGCGCGAUUGGAGCGGCCGAUGGCAGAUUAGGUAGUUGGUGGGAUAAAAGCUUACCAAGCCGACGAUCUGUAGCUGGUCUGAGAGGACGACCAGCCACACUGGGACUGAGACACGGCCCAGACUCCUACGGGAGGCAGCAGUGGGGAAUUUUGGACAAUGGGCGAAAGCCUGAUCCAGCAAUGCCGCGUGCAGGAUGAAGGCCUUCGGGUUGUAAACUGCUUUUGUACGGAACGAAAAAGCUUCUCCUAAUACGAGAGGCCCAUGACGGUACCGUAAGAAUAAGCACCGGCUAACUACGUGCCAGCGGCCGCGGUAAUACGUAGGGUGCGAGCGUUAAUCGGAAUUACUGGGCGUAAAGCGUGCGCAGGCGGUUAUGUAAGACAGAUGUGAAAUCCCCGGGCUCAACCUGGGAACUGCAUUUGUGACUGCAUGGCUAGAGUACGGUAGAGGGGGAUGGAAUUCCGCGUGUAGCAGUGAAAUGCGUAGAUAUGCGGAGGAACACCGAUGGCGAAGGCAAUCCCCUGGACCUGUACUGACGCUCAUGCACGAAAGCGUG